GAAAAUGAUAUUCCGUGUGGGCUUGGUGUUGUUGACGUCCAUGCUGGGUACUCGGGAUAAGCUCAAGGCCUGUCCGGGUCAGUACGAGACCAUGGAGGUCCUCAGAGCGAUUGAGCCCAGAUACAUGCAGGAGGGCUUCUUAGUGCUCCAGGUUCUGGAGUUGCAGGUAUCGGCACAGGACGUGGAACGUGAGCAACGCACGCAGCUGAAGCGCUGGAAGAAGAAGCGCGGCGAGCCUGGCCCCAAACUCCCUCAGAGAAUGCACAGUGCUCGCGCCAUCAUGGCCACCGAGCCUCAUACACACCAAGACCUCCGCCAGAAACCCACCAUUAUGGUCCAGUACCCAUCGAUCCCUGAGGAAAAGUCUGAGCCGAACCUCAGGAAGAAGAGAGGGAGCCUGAAGAAAAACCAAGCCCUCAUUACUAACCCCUACGCUCUACCUGGCGAGUCUAAACCUAGUCAGAUAUUGGACUUACAGCUUCUGAACCAGGAAAAUCUAAAUCUUGUACUUCCAAAUCCACUAUCACAUCCACCACGGCUCCCUACAAUGCAGGAAAAUCAGGUCAAAGAGACGAGCACUUCUACAGAGCGACUCGUCCUCGAAUUCCUCCAUCGAUAAGAAACCGGCGGAAUCUAUCCCUCUGCAACAUCUAUCCCUCCUAACUGCUCCUGUACACGGAUCACCUUCAGCGUGGCGUCCUCACCUGCUGAAAUGUCCUCCUGUCCAAUCCAGAGAACCUGACCAUGAUGAGCUCCCUAAUAAUACAGAAAACUCAGCCACCGUUUUGGAUCCAUCUACAGACUCAAGCCCUCUGCUUACGCACAACGCACCUGCCCCCCACGACUCGCCUGCUGCUCCCGAGAGGCGGAAGAAACCCCGAGAGGUCAAUUAAGGGUCAGUGGAGAGUCAGAGAAAAUCCCAGAAAAAUACUGUAUCCUCAGCACCUCACACGCUGCCAUCUUAGUGUCACUGCGGUGCUGAGAAUGCUCCACCCCCCUAAUGAACCCUAAUGGUCUAAUCAGUUUUCCUUUCCAUUAAUGGAUGGUGUAGAGAACGGCUAACGAAUUGUGCCUAGCAUCAGACGAGUUACAGUCACUAGUGUACUUCAGUAACGUAGAUUUACACUCUGACUCGCCUUAUGGGACCAAACAAAUACAUUACUGGAACUUUGACAUGCGUGUCCCUAAAUCUGAUGGGAAGUGGAGAGUCACGCUACUGUAGGACCAGCUCUUAACUCUCAAAUCCAGAGCAGAAUGUGAGGUUCUGAGGUUUUUACAUCUGAGGCUGCUCAUCUGAGGAUCUACCUCUGAAAGCUCUGCAUCUGUGGCUCUACCUCUGAGGUUCUAUGUCCGAGUCUCUGCAUCUGAGGCUGUAUAUCCGAAGCUGUACAUCUGUGGCUGUACAUCUGAGGAUCUCCCUCUGAGGCUGUUUGUCUAGGACUGUACAUCUGUGGCUCUGCGUCUGAGGAUCUGCGUGUGUGGCUGUGCACGUCUGAGGUGUGGGGGCGGUCCGUCUGAGGCUCUGAGUUCAAGGCUUUACAUUUGAGGCCCUUCCUUUGAGUCUGCUGUCUGUGUUUCUGUUACUCUCUCAUUUGGCUCAUGUGAGGUCAUUUUAACCAUUUUAUGUUUGUACAUUAAUGGGAUUGGUUAGAACUGCAGAGUGGGUGUGUGCGAAUAUUCAGUUUUCAUAUCGCUAAUGUAUAUGGUACAUUAUAUCGAACAGCGCAAAACUUUUAAAAAUCUAUUUAGUAGGAUUGACGUGACAUUGUGGACUUUUUCCUUAACUUUACAAAUGUGAAAAUUACUUAGAAGCUCAGCUUGAAAAACAAAUUUAAAAAUGCUGCCUAGGUAGUAGGCGAUUAUAAUAAUAUCUUCUCGUUAUUUGAAUGAAUUUAGUCAAUUUUAAGUCGGUAUGGUGUCGUUAGGGAGCAACUAAAACUAGGCACAACUGUGAAUUUCAUAAUAAGUGAUGUUUGUUUCAUAAUUUUGAGCCAGUCAGAUCGUGGUUUUGUUUUUAAAUUAAUUGACUAUACACUAUGUUUUUAUUUGAGCUAUUUUAUACCAGUGGAUUUUUUUUUACGUGCCUGGAUUUUUAAUUUCAUUUUGAAAGUGCCAAAAGUCUUAAAUCAUAGUUUAAUAAUCAGAUAUGUGAACAUGGCACUAAUGCUAGACCAAGUAUUGCUACAUUCAGUUCAUUCCAACUUAUUUUUAUUCCAAGUUAGGUAAUAAUUUUAUCACACACACACACACGUGUGAUUAUCGUUUUGCCCUAAUCUUCCACCGCCGCUAUGGAGACAGCCUCUUUCUGAACUGAAAGCAGGAGUAUUGAUGAUUUUUAAAUUUUUUUAUUGUGCGUGUUAAACAGUGUGAUACGUUGAGGAAUUGAUUAUUGGCACACGUCUACUGAAUAGCAAGGAUCGUUAAGUCUUUAACGUGUUAUAGUUUACACCGGAGUAACUGCAAACAAUCUGAGAAAGGGAGAAACCCGUGAGCUACUAGAGGGCACACUUUCCAAAAAUGUACACACACUCCACAAAAACUCUGCAGUGCCUGAGGAGUGUUUACUCGCUCCAGUCUUCAGAAGGGAAACUACCUACAGAUUCACUUUUGAAAGACUUUCACAGGCAUCACAAACAUUUGUUUAUAUUACACUCGUAUUAAUUUGGCAGAUUUUUUUUUUAUUAAUCCGAAGCAACCACCACUUCUUUGUGUUUGUAUUUCACAAAUUUCCUUACCACAUCUUACAAGAGCUGCACGACAAUCACAACAAUCCUAUGCAAUAGGCACAUCCUUUUCAUUAACAUAAUCUCAAUGAAAUAUCUACUCUGUCUGUAUACUUUACGCGCAAACAAAACAACUCAAGCUGAGAACUUUAUUGCUGAUUCACUUUAUACCACACUGCCUUCGAAUUCUCCAGAACAUGCUCUAAUACUUUAUCGUUUCUAUAGCAACAACCUACACAGGGAAUUGUAUGUUGUUAUAUUGUAUAAAUGUAAUUGUAGUCCAUCAUACUCUACCAUGCUAUUUAUAAUAACAUACUUUUGUUUAAUUAUUAUUUAAUCUUUUUUUUAAGAUUAAGGCGGGGGGGGCACUUCCAUCAAUCAUCAUUGCAACACCUGAUCCCUAGGUGGCGGUAAUGUACAAUUCAGCACAGAAGAAGAAGAGGAGGAGGCGCUGGGGGAGAACAAGCAAGGAAGAAGAGUGUUAAUGGUGUUUACUGCUCAUCUGGAGAGUCACCGCCAUCUUUCUGCAGGGGGUUAGAAGUGAACCUGACGGAGAGUGAAGCUUACAGAGGCGAAGUGUUCACGCUACAGCAAAUUUC
Ictalurus furcatus (blue catfish) is the source of this 3322-nucleotide long non-coding RNA. RefSeq lists it as uncharacterized. The transcript has 3 exons. The record is from RefSeq and is a predicted model, not a curated record. Lineage: Eukaryota; Metazoa; Chordata; Actinopteri; Siluriformes; Ictaluridae.